CCCUACGGGAGGCAGCAGUGGGGAAUCCUACGGGAGGCAGCAGUGGGGAAUUUUGCACAAUGGGGGAAACCCUGACGCAGCAACGCCGCGUGCAUGAUGAAGUCCGGAGCGUAGUAAAGUCCGCAGCCCGUUGAAUAAUGACGGUACCGGAAGAAGAAGCACACGUAUGAG
RNAcentral lists this ribosomal RNA (171 nucleotides) under uncultured Clostridium sp. RNAcentral's name for it is "partial 16S ribosomal RNA". It matches the Rfam family "Bacterial small subunit ribosomal RNA", at positions 312 to 489 of the family's 1533-position model. Lineage: Bacteria; Bacillati; Bacillota; Clostridia; Eubacteriales; Clostridiaceae. The record is from RNAcentral.